RNAcentral lists this ribosomal RNA (444 nucleotides) under Klebsiella aerogenes. RNAcentral describes it as "bacterial SSU rRNA". It matches the Rfam family "Bacterial small subunit ribosomal RNA", at positions 989 to 1433 of the family's 1533-position model. The record is from RNAcentral. Lineage: Bacteria; Pseudomonadati; Pseudomonadota; Gammaproteobacteria; Enterobacterales; Enterobacteriaceae.
CAGAGAACUUAGCAGAGAUGCUUUGGUGCCUUCGGGAACUCUGAGACAGGUGCUGCAUGGCUGUCGUCAGCUCGUGUUGUGAAAUGUUGGGUUAAGUCCCGCAACGAGCGCAACCCUUAUCCUUUGUUGCCAGCGGUCCGGCCGGGAACUCAAAGGAGACUGCCAGUGAUAAACUGGAGGAAGGUGGGGAUGACGUCAAGUCAUCAUGGCCCUUACGAGUAGGGCUACACACGUGCUACAAUGGCAUAUACAAAGAGAAGCGACCUCGCGAGAGCAAGCGGACCUCAUAAAGUAUGUCGUAGUCCGGAUUGGAGUCUGCAACUCGACUCCAUGAAGUCGGAAUCGCUAGUAAUCGUAGAUCAGAAUGCUACGGUGAAUACGUUCCCGGGCCUUGUACACACCGCCCGUCACACCAUGGGAGUGGGUUGCAAAAGAAGUAGGUAG